CCUACGGGUGGCAGCAGUGAGGAAUAUUGGUCAAUGGCCGUGAGGCUGAACCAGCCAAGUCGCGUGAAGGAAGAAGGUUCAAUGGUUUGUAAACUUCUUUUAUAGGGGAAUAAAGGUAUCCACGUGUGGAUAUUUGCAUGUACCCUAUGAAUAAGCAUCGGCUAACUCCGUGCCAGCAGCCGCCGUAAUACGGAGGAUGCGAGCGUUAUCCGGAUUUAGUGGGGUUAAAGGGUGGGUAGGUGGUAUUUUAAGGCAGCGGUUAAAGUUCGUGGCUCAACCAUAUUAGUGCCGUUGAAACUGGAAGACUUGAGUGUGUGAGAGGUAGGCGGAAUGCGUGGGGUAGCGGUGAAAUGCAGAGAUAUCACGCAGAACUCCGAUUGCGAAGGCAGCUUACUGAGCCAUAACUGACGCUGAAGCACGAAAGCGUGGGGAUCAAACAGGAUUAGAUACCCGUGUAGUC
Molecule: ribosomal RNA, 460 nt
Filed under: uncultured bacterium
Lineage: Bacteria
Description: partial 16S ribosomal RNA
Rfam family: Bacterial small subunit ribosomal RNA
Source: RNAcentral